ACCUCCCAGAGUAUCUUCGGGGUGUAUCCGAGUGAAAAGAAUGAAAAGCGCCCGAAAACGCACGAAGUAGCGCACUGAACAUUAUACAAUGUGCAUCGCAGAGUUAACCCCAAAAAGAAGGGGAGCGCGAGCAAAAAGUGAAAUCGAGAGCGACAUCAUGGACUUCAUGGAUGUGGAUACGGAUACGGGUGAUGCCGCCAUCUGUGGCGCGGCAAGUGCAAACCGUUGGAUACCAUAAGAUUGAAGUGGAUGCGAGAUAAGCACCGACCAUCUGGGAAGUAAAUCAACUGCAGAUUUUGAUUUAUCUCCGCAACUAAUGAAGCUGUUCAAGUGGAAACCAAGUGCCUACUUUGUCCGGCCAAAUAAACAACCCUCCGCCACUUCAAGGGUGGUAAAUAGAGCCAGAAGGGCCUGAAGACGAGGCUUCCGGCAGGAUGAAGAUCGAGUUCCCGAUAGAAGGAACGCAUGUGCACGUGCUGCAACCAAAGCAAACAUAUGCCCCCUCAUGAAACUCAACACCAGACAUAAAACUAUAUCGCUGAAUCGAAGUUCGAGGGGGGUAAAAGGACGGGGGCGCGCACAAGUGCUCAUUAACAAUUACAAACAGACGAUCAGUCAGUCGAGCGUACUACAUUUUCCAAUAAAACUAUUAUAAAUGCGCAUAAAUUUCCCCCAAGAAAUUUAAAUCGGAGACAAUAGCAAGGCAUGAAUGAGUUGAAUACGUUAAGUAAUCAUCGGCAUUCCCAGCACAAAGCACCCUGUAAAUAAAUAUACCUCCUAUCUAUUAUCAGCUGUUUUCGAAAGCCAACCCAAAUGUGCCUCAGUGUGUGUUGAUUAAAUCAACCUCAAACAGACAGGGAAUGUAAAAAAAAAAAAAAAAGAAAAAAACAAAUUCAAAUAUCGCUUUCAAUGAACAACAAUUGGCUUGUUUACAUGUAGAUACGAAAAAGUAUAUAUAAAACAAACGCAAAACUUGUCGCUUUGUGUUUUCUGCUACGUUUAUUUGUCAAUUAAUUAUUGUCGGCUUCAAAAGACCAGCGGAUGCCAAUGUCGUGGGCGCUGAAAGGGGUUGAAAUGAAUAGACGAGGAGGUCGUGAUCAUAAUCCAUAAAUUAAAAUACCAGCCACAGCAGCCCGAUCGCAAUGAGAGAAAAUUAUAAUUGAAAUUCAGCUGGCGAAAGAGAAAGAUAUUGGGUGGAAAAUUCACAAUUCUUGGCAUACUUUUAGGUGUGUUCCAGAAUUUCCCUUUCUUAUUGAUUGUUCGGUCUGUAUUCUAAUUGAAUUUAGUUGUUUUUUUCCCCAAUUGCAGGGCAUGACUCAUCCACUGAUUUGCAAAGUCAAGUAUGACAAAUCCAUUUGCCCCCAGCUGCUGAUCCAAUUGUGGCAGCACCAAAUUAGCAUGAAAUAAUCCACCCUCGGAUAUAUGUAUAUACAUAUAUCUUUUGUGCAUCCAUCGCUUGACCUCCCGCAUGAGCGUCUUUUUUAAUGGUCUUGCACAAAAAUAAGUUGCCAAAGUAAACAAAAGUGCAGCUCCGAUUUCCUUGCGGUGGGUCCACAACUACGAAGGCUGGAUGAAGUCGCUCCCCAACAAGGGACUGCACUUUGCUCCCGAACAAGGGCCAUCAACUCAUCCCAUGCUGCGCGAAAAACUCUGCGCACAGCCUGAGACGCAAAAAAGAGAAAUUUGCAAAACCAGGAUGAGGUAGCCAUGAAAUUUUAAUGCCGUAAUUAUGUCAGCCCCUUGAUGACAAAUCUCGAACGAUCGCCGCGAAAAGGGUGCCGCUGCAGAGCGUCACAUGUGGCCAACGAGCUAAUUAAAGACUGGCGACGAAAAUGGAGGACUCUUUGUUUACUCAGCCCCGAAGAACAGACUCGAAAGAGGCUCAGUUUUCACAGCAGAAAUCAUUGAAGGGAAACCGACACAAAAUUGAGAUUUACAUGAAUUUUGCUACAAAAGCUGAUUCGGUUACACAAACCAGCAGGCGAAUCGCUUCCUAGUUUGUCAAGAAACCAGCGGGAACGAUAAAAACAUAUUGACAAUUUCACAAUCGGCCCAAAUAAAAGUGAAACAGAUGGGCGGAGACCGGAGAAAUGUUGCAACAUGGCACAUGGCUUGACAACCACAUGGAUGUGUUCCUGCUGGUGUUUUUAGAUGUUACUCCGAAGACCCUGACAACAGCAAUAUGUCAAAUGUCAAUUCAGCUCAGAUGCGACCGAAAAACAAUACCGAAUGCAUGCCAGACGAACAUUUUUCACAUGCUGAAAGAAAUUGCGUCAAGUGUGGUUUUUCUUGUCAUAAAGUGAAAGUCGAAAUCAUGCGUAAUUACCGCUCCAUAAAAUGCGGAACAGUCUACUCGCGCCAUAAGAUAAAACCGAUCGAUCAAGUGCGCCACAAGCUGGGGGCAUAAAGACAGGCGACAAAAAACUAAAAACUGGAAACCUACGCAGCCACUCGUUGCGUGCAACUAUCCAUCCACUAGCCCUCACUCCACGCUUGUCAAUGGCGUUUAACGCUUGUCCGUGUACAAAUUGGUAAAUCAUUCCAAUGACAAGACAUACAGAAUUGUAAAAAUUGGCCAAAAGAAACAUCAUCGAACACUUAAUACUCUUUAAGAUAAGUAAAAAUGACUUUUUCAGUAAAUUACAUUGCGAAUUAGUAUUUUGGGACA
Long non-coding RNA from Drosophila gunungcola (fruit fly), 2668 nucleotides. RefSeq lists it as uncharacterized. The transcript has 3 exons. The record is from RefSeq and is a predicted model, not a curated record. NCBI's taxonomy places the organism in Eukaryota, Metazoa, Arthropoda, Insecta, Diptera, Drosophilidae.